GGGCGCUUAGCUCAGCUGGUUAGAGCACCGGUCUUACAAACCGGGGGUCACAAGUUCGAAUCUUGUAGCGCCCA
Molecule: transfer RNA, 74 nt
Filed under: Myxococcales bacterium
Lineage: Bacteria; Pseudomonadati; Myxococcota; Myxococcia; Myxococcales
Description: tRNA-Val
Rfam family: tRNA
About the family: Transfer RNA (tRNA) molecules are approximately 80 nucleotides in length.
Source: RNAcentral